CGUGUAGGUGGGGAAGCAAGUCCGGUGGGAAAGCCCGCGGCUCAACCGCGGAAGUUCGCUGGAAACUGCUACUCUUGAGGGUGAUAGAGGGAAGUGGAAUUGCUGGUGUAGCGGUGAAAUGCGUAGAUAUCAGCAGGAACACCCGUGGCGAAGGCGGCUUCCUGGAUCACCCCUGACGCUGAGACGCGAAAGCGUGGGAGCAACG
RNAcentral lists this ribosomal RNA (205 nucleotides) under uncultured bacterium. Its description in RNAcentral is "partial 16S ribosomal RNA". It matches the Rfam family "Bacterial small subunit ribosomal RNA", at positions 568 to 773 of the family's 1533-position model. The record is from RNAcentral.